This is a small nucleolar RNA of Tachyglossus aculeatus (Australian echidna), 138 nucleotides long. NCBI's taxonomy places the organism in Eukaryota, Metazoa, Chordata, Mammalia, Monotremata, Tachyglossidae. The record is from RefSeq and is a predicted model, not a curated record.
CCCCUCUCAGGGUCACACCUGGAGAGUUUCCAGUACUCUACCAGUCUUGAUUAUGGGAGGGAGAGUCAAGCAGAGGCAUGCCUUUUCCAUUCCUAGCUUGGGCAGUGGCUAGCGAGCGGAAGGCAAUCUGCUAUAAGU